UAAUCUCAGCUGGCAACUGUGAGCUGUUCGUGCAAUCCUCACAGUGGCCUCUGGGACUAUG
RNAcentral lists this microRNA precursor (61 nucleotides) under Echinops telfairi (small Madagascar hedgehog). RNAcentral describes it as "Ete-Mir-216-P2b_pre stem-loop". Lineage: Eukaryota; Metazoa; Chordata; Mammalia; Afrosoricida; Tenrecidae. The record is from RNAcentral.